This 386-nucleotide ribosomal RNA is filed under the name uncultured bacterium. Its description in RNAcentral is "bacterial SSU rRNA". It matches the Rfam family "Bacterial small subunit ribosomal RNA", at positions 30 to 419 of the family's 1533-position model. The record is from RNAcentral.
AUUGAACGCUGGCGGUAUGCUUAACACAUGCAAGUCGAACGGUAACAGGCCUUCGGGCGCUGACGAGUGGCGGACGGUGAGUAACGCGUAGGAAUCUGCCUCAUAGUGGGGGACAACGUGGGGAAACUCACGCUAAUACCGCAUACGCCCUACGGGGGAAAGCGGGGGAUCUUCGGACCUCGCGCUAUGAGAUGAGCCUGCGUUAGAUUAGCUAGUUGGUAGGGUAAAGGCCUACCAAGGCGACGAUCUAUAGCUGGUCUGAGAGGACGAUCAGCCACACUGGGACUGAGACACGGCCCAGACUCCUACGGGAGGCAGCAGUGGGGAAUAUUGGACAAUGGGCGCAAGCCUGAUCCAGCAAUACCGCGUGUGUGAAGAAGGCCCUA